RNAcentral lists this ribosomal RNA (525 nucleotides) under uncultured bacterium. RNAcentral's name for it is "bacterial SSU rRNA". It matches the Rfam family "Bacterial small subunit ribosomal RNA", at positions 355 to 896 of the family's 1533-position model. The record is from RNAcentral.
UGGGGAAUAUUGGACAAUGGGGGCAACCCUGAUCCAGCAAUUCUGUGUGCACGAAGAAGGUUUUCGGAUUGUAAAGUGCUUUCAGCAGGGAAGAAGAAAGUGACGGUACCUGCAGAAGAAGCGACGGCUAAAUACGUGCCAGCAGCCGCGGCAAUACGUAUGUCGCAAGCGUUAUCCGGAAUUAUUGGGCAUAAAGGGCAUCUAGGCGGCCCUGUAAGUCUAGGGUGAAAACCUGCGGCUCAACCGCAGGCCUGCCCCGGAAACUACAAGGCUAGAGUAUCGGAGAGGUGGACGGAACUGCACGAGUAGAGGUGAAAUUCGUAGAUAUGUGCAGGAAUGCCGAUGAUGAAGAUAGUUCACUGGACGGUAACUGACGCUGAAGUGCGAAAGCUAGGGGAGCAAACAGGAUUAGAUACCCUGGUAGUCCUAGCUGUAAACGAUGAUUACUGGGUGUGGGCAUGAAGAGUGUCCGUGCCGAAGCAAAUGCGAUAAGUAAUCCGCCUGGGGAGUACGGCCGCAAGGCUG